Echinops telfairi (small Madagascar hedgehog) is the source of this 105-nucleotide small nuclear RNA. Lineage: Eukaryota; Metazoa; Chordata; Mammalia; Afrosoricida; Tenrecidae. The record is from RefSeq and is a predicted model, not a curated record.
GUGCUCGCUUUAGAGACACAUACUAAAAUUGGCACAAAACAGAGAAGACUCGCAUGGCCCCUGUGUAAGGAUAACACAAAAAUUCAUGAAAUAUUCCAUGUUUUU